RNAcentral lists this long non-coding RNA (10778 nucleotides) under Homo sapiens (human). RNAcentral describes it as "HSALNT0046941". Lineage: Eukaryota; Metazoa; Chordata; Mammalia; Primates; Hominidae. The record is from RNAcentral.
AUUGGACAAGAGUGAUUUCGGUAAUUUUCUCCUGGUAAGGAGCCCACCGACCAUGACUGGUUCUAGCGGGUUUACAGAGAUUGCAUACUUGAGUGCCUUCAUGUCCUGAAUAGACCUUUUGAUGUAUAGGGCCUGAUUGCAAUAUUUAAAUAUUAAGUCUCCACCCCAAGGUGAACAUGUGUCAUAUGUAAGAUGCAUGUUUAAUAUGCAUGCAUCAGGACCACUUUCAUUAAUAUUCAUAGCUCCUCCUGUAACCUGUUGAAUAUGUGUUAAGCCAACCCAUUCAGCAUAAAAGCAUAAAACUCCUACCCCAACCCCUCCUCCUUGGAGGUGCCUGUCUCUGGGCUUCUGCUGGAGGAGGCUGUGCUUCCUGGCCUGCAGGAUGGCCACCUGGCAGGCUGUCACCCUUAAGAAAUAGUGUCUCCAUUUUUCUAAAUUUGUAUCUUAUGAUUUUUUUUUUAAAGUUAACGUAUCUGGCAAAGAUGGGAUUCUGAAGCAGCCCCUGAAUUCCUUUUCCUGUGUCACCCAGGACACCAGGUACAGCCAAGGUCCCUUUGAAAAAGUCCAGUUGUUCCUGACUAUGCUGGGAAAGGAUCUGGGUAAGUGCUAUCAAAAUCCAAGAUCUCCCACUUUUAGGUUGCAGACUUGAUUUCUUCUUUUAGGCCUCCUCCAUCUGUGGAACUCCGGAGGAGACCCUCCUGCUGGCCUUGGGUUUGGGAGGGCAUUCCUAGUUCUUCUCAGUCCUUUCUGUUCUCCUCCCUGGACCCCGGAGGGAACAUCUCUCCUAGCCUUGGGUUUGGAGGAGGCCUUCCUGAUUCCCUCCAUCCAAGGGCCCUGGAGAAAAUGCAUUUGUGGGCUCCGGGCUUAUGGAGAGGCAUUCAGGUUGGAUUCAACUGGUUCAUAAGGUUUGUGGGGAUGCUCACACUAAGGGCACUGGAAGAGAUAUCUUCAUAAAGUCAGUGCAAUAGGUAACUUACCCACUAGGGGCAGGAACUCCUGUAGAAGUUCAAAGGCAUGCCAGGUUUUCCAGCACUUCAGCUAGCUGCAUAUUGUGGCCUGUUCUUGUGCACAUUUUAAAACUGAACGGGCAAAUUACAGCAAGGAAAAUUCAGAGCUCAAAUGCCCAACCUGCAACUAUACAAUUAAAAUGUAGAGUUUUCUAAAGCUAUCUCUUUUUUGUUUUCGGCCUGCUUUGAAUUUGCUGUUAUUAAGCUACUGCUGUUAAGAUAAAACUCAUUGUUUAUGAUACUACUAAUUCAAGGCUACUUGGAGCUUUCUUUACAGUUCAGCCAAUUGUAGCUAAAAUGUAAACACUGAAAACUCAUUUGAAACUUCAGGAAAAAAAAAAGGGGUAAAAGGUUUUUAAAAAUAAAACUGCCAUGAAAACUACUUUUCCCAAGACUUUGGUCCAUAGCCUUCAUUGGAUUACCUACUGGGACAAAUAAAGUUUAGCCAUGUGAACAGGUCCCAAUUUUGUCAGAAAUAAUUUGGAUCCAGCUGUCUUUUGUUAAGUGGUGAGUCUGUAUUACCAUCUCAUGGCUAAGGUUCCAGAGUAAAAGCUGUAAGAUCUUUGUGUGUAUGUGUUUAAAUGUUUGUAUAUGAACAUGUAUUAUGUUGUGUUGUAUCUAGCAUGGUACCAAACUGGUUUAUAAGUAAAUUAUACUCAUAAAUUAAGUAAGUCCAAAUACUUUUCAGAUUCAUGUGAACUUAGUAAUCUGGUAAAUAAAAUGGUUUUAAAAUUAUUGGUAAAAUAAAACUAGAAAUGUCUUCAGAAUUGUCAGCAUACAUUUUUUUUUUAGUCUGGGUUUACUGAUUAUUUUAUAUUUGCCUCCGCUAGGUGUUUUAAGGUAUCAGGAUUUGGCACAAAAGAUUAUAAGACUAUAAACCCAGUCAAAAAGAGAAUGAUCUUUGUGUGAAUUUUUUGACAAAUAAGACUAAUUUAAUAUUGUUGGUUCAAUGAAAACAGCUAAGUUGUUAGCUGUUUUGUUAGCUUCUGAGUUGUUGGCAAAAAUAUCCACAUGUUUAAGGUUCUGACUUAAAUGAACAUCUGAUAUUCACAGGCUACAAAAAUGGUUAACAGGUCAUACAGGUUACUAAACAGCUGAUGACUCGUCACAUAGAACUUACAGGUAAGUCACUGUUGUAACCUUGCUUUUUGGCUCUUCUGUUGCUCAAAAGGUUUUUAAGGGUUAAUGAGUGCCUGUUCACCUCCAUCCUCAUCUGGCCUAGAAUGUUUAAUUGGCUCCAAGUCCCUUGGCCAUAAGGAUCCCACCAAAGAACAGAAUGAACCUGCAGCAGGUAGCCACACCACCCCGGCAAAGAUAUGGGAAAAAAUAAAUGUUUGGUCACCAAUGUCAUCUCUGGCACAUCUUGGCUAAAAGGGGAGAAUGUAAACUCAGCCUCCCAAAGUGCUGGGAUUACAGACAUGAGCUACCAUGCUUGGCCAGAAACACGUUUCUAAAAAUUGUGACGUGAUUCUCAUCUUUAAAGUGCUGAUAGAGAACAGACAAUUCAAUAUUUCUUGCCUCCUAGGUUUUCACUAAAAUUUAAGGUUACUAAGAGUAAGAAUUUUAGUUAAUAUAGAAUUCUAUAUAUAAAAUGUGCCAAAUAAAUGUGUUCUUAUGGAGAAAAAGAAUAAUUUUAUUUAAUUUGGAUGUUAUUUAAAGGUUAGUUAUGAAAGAAGGUAGAAAACCAGUAAGUAGGAGAGAUGUGAAAAAAGUUAGCUAUGAAGAUGUAUUUUUGGUAAGGAAGGUUCAAAAGAGAAUAAUUUCAUAUAUGAAAGUAUCUUGCAGGGUAAAUUUCUGUCCUAAAGUAAAAUGACUGGUUAUUAAGGAAAGGGGAAAUUUAGUACAAAUCAGAAAGUACAAGCAUGUUAUAGAUGGUCUAAGUUGUGAUAAGGUUUGUGAGAGAAUACUUAUGAAAAGCAUUUUGUGUGGGAUUAAGUUGGCUAUAAUUAAAAUUAUUUAUAAAAGUCUUUCUAAAUUUUGGUCCCUUGUUUUAAAAGAAAGUUGUCUUAAAAUAUGAUUUACUCUUAAUACAAUUAAAAGAGGUUUUGAUUUUUAAUUCUAAACCUGUUUCUUGUUGAAAACUUCUCAGAUUAGUAUCUUGGAAGUUCCACUUUUGCUGCGUCUUGCUACUUUGUUUUUCUCCCCCUUUGAGAAGGCCUGAGAUGAUAACUUUUCCCUUCAACUGUUUUGCCAGCUCCUGUAACUUUUUCCCUCUGGUUCUAACUGCCACUGUGGCCUGAUGCUAAAAUGUUUUAUCUUGAAGGUCUCGAAGAGCAAUGUUUUCCUACAGUAUACCUUGAUUCUGUACUCUUGGCUUUUCCUGAUAUCCGAAUUGUUCCAUAUAACCAGAAAACUUCCCAUGCUGUUAUUAAGAGUCAUGUAUUCCCCGGCUCAAGGUACAGUUUUCUAGUUUCCUGUUUCCUCCAUAACAUAAAGUUCAUUCAUGACCCCAGACACACUCUUCUUGUGUCUGAUUAAUUCAAGUAAACUUUUUACAGUUUGAUUUCCAAGUUAUCUAAAUGGGCUUCUCAUAGGAGAAGCAACCACACUGUAGGUUUUUCUUUGCCUUUUUGGUAACUGGCCUAAGAACCAAAGAUUUUACAUUUUAUCAAGAUAAUUCCCAUGUUUUCUUUAUUAGAUUUUUUAUUACUUAGGAAAACUAAGCUUUAAAAGGGUUAAGGUUUUUACAUCCAUGUGACUUUCCAUAUUGCAUUUAAAGUCUUUUGAUUAUUACUCUUGGUUUAAUGAAUAACUAUUACAAUGACCUGUAAUUCCAUUUUGAUUAAAAGCUUUGAGCCUUUGAACAUCUUUGACAAAUGUCCUCAAAAUCAAAUAAACAUUGCUAAUUCUUCAUGUUUUGCUUUUCAGAGUCAAUAAAACCUUUUUUCUUUUAAACUAUUUACAGCUUACAGAAAUUGGGUAAAACAUUGAAGAUUACCUUUCUCUCUACCUAGUAUCUCUAGAAUUUGAAAACUAUUCAAUCCCCCUAGGCCAAUCUGCUUUCCAUUGCCAAGGCACUACUGCUAAAGCAAUACAGUAUCAAGCACCCUCCCAGUAGGCCCAUGGACUAUCACAGAAGGGGUGGGCACAUGAGAUUGUAAGGGCCAGUUUCAACAGAUAAAAUUAGUUCAGACCCUCCAAAUUAAAGAUGGGCAUACAGAUUACCAAACAGCUCAUGGCUCAACACACAGAACUCAUAGACAAGUCACUUUUGUAACACUGCUUUUUGGUUAUGUUGCUCAAAAGGUUUUUAAGGGUUAAUGCGUGCCUGUGAACCUCCAUCUUCAUCUGGCCUCCAAUGUUUAAUUAGUUUUAAGUCUUUUGGUUCCAAGUCCCUUGGCCACAGGGAUCCCACCAAAGAACAAAAUGAGCCUGGGGCAGGUAACGACACCACCCUGGCAGUGACAUGAGACAAAAUAAAUGUUUGGUCAUCAGUGUUGCCUCUGGCACAUCUUGGCUAAAAGGGGAGAAUGUAAACUAAAAAUAAAAUCCUAAGACUCCUCCCCUACAGAUUGAAUGGACCCCCUCUUGGCCAAGGGGACCCCAGAAAAUUCUUAAAAACGGAGUUCCCAGCCAUGACAGGACAGCAGGUUAGACACGACUUGUUAUACUCCCCUCCCUUUUCUGGUUUACAGACAAUUGACCCGCAUUAAAGUUAAAAUAGAGAUCCUAAGAUUGACAGAACAGAUUCUUUGUGGCAGCAACAUAACAAAUUACCAUGCCAGGCAAGGGUUAAGUUAUGCACCCCUACGCUUAAAGAAUAAACUAGGUUCUAACUGCAACAAGGAUUCUCUUUCUCUCUAGCAGCUAAACAAGCAGUGGCCUCACCAUAAACACUAAUAAAACACUUGCAGCCCUACCAGAUGCUGACUAACUGAACUCUACCAGCCAUAACUAUAGCUUUGACUGGACAAGAGAGUGAUUUCAGUAACUUUCUCCUGUUAAGAAGCCCACCGACCAUGGACUGGUUCUAGUGGGUUUACAGAGAUUGCGUACUUGAGUGCCUUCCUGUCCUGAAAAACCUUUUGAUGUACUGGGCCUGAUUGUAAUAUUUAAAUGUCGAGUCUUCUCUGUGAGAUGAACAUGGGUCAUAUGUAACAUACUUGUUUAAUAUGCAUUCAUCAGGACCACCUUUAUGAACAUUCACAGCUCUUCCUGUAACCUACUGAAUAUGCAUAUUUAGAUAACUUUUUCAGCAUAAAGCUCCAAGCCAACCCCUCCUCCUUUGAAGUGCCUGUCUCUGGGCUUCUGCUAGAGGAGGCUGUGCUUCCCAGCUUGCAAGAUAACCUGACAGGCUAUAACUCUUAAGAAGUAAUAGUUUCCUCUCUCCUUUUCCAAACUUACAGAUUUGUGAUUUUAAAAAGUUAACAUGACUUACUCCAUUGGGAGUGUUACUUAAAUGAACUGAUUUUAAAUCUCAAACAUACCAAUUACCAUACAUAUGGUAAAACUGAAGUCUGUGAGGGUAAAGCAAUUUCUCUGAGUUUCCACAGUAAGUGAAGGCUCUUCAAAGUGCCAUGCUGUUCAUCAACUUCGGAUGCUCUGCAAGUGGAGAUCUCUCCCUCAGGCAGUGGCAGGAAGAGACUCUGCCCAUCUCACUUCUGCCCACUUGAUACAAUGCUUUGGGAUUAUUUCUCCCCUCUUUCCACAGAAGAACAUCAGGAGUGGAUUGUUAUGUUUCUAUAUUACUUUGCAUGGGUCUCAUUCCUCAGCUUUUUCUGGUACAAGGUAGACUCUAAUCUUGAGGUGAGCACAUUCUAUUCUAUUCAUCUCCUCUAGGACACAAGCCACAGGAAUUCAGUGUUGACAAAGAUAGUUCUUGGUGUUGCUAAAGCUGCAGAAAUGACAGGAAGGACUCAGGAGAGAUUCUGCUUUUUUUUUUUUCCCCCAGCUCCUAUCAGACAUUCCCAGGUGGGGCUGGGGUAUUAUACCAUCUGGCUUCAGAAAUGCUCUAAGACUCCCUUUUACCCCUACCAUCUGCCAACUUCUGUCAACACAAACUGCUAAGAAAGGGAACCUAUUUUUCAGCCUAGUAUUCUUACUAUGGCAGAGAUAGAGAAAAGUCAUGCACAUAUUACAUAAGAUUGUCAAGAUCUGCCAGGGAUUCACCCUCUGCCUCUGAGCAAGACUGUUUCUAACACGAAUAGGAAGACUACCAGAGAAGGGAGAGAGAAAUCUGUUUCCUGUUUUCAAAAUCUCCAGAGGAGAUCCCUCAGCCAAGGAGAAGAGUCUUAACCCUAGUAACACACACAGCAUCCUUGAAACAAACAACAAAAGCGAUGUGGCCACAAGGAUAUGUGUGUAAUUCUUUGAUGGUGUGUUUGAUCUCGCCCCAGUUUGGCCUCACUUAAACUCAAAUCCAACAGCUUGGAAUGCAAUUUUAAAAUUCUGAGCAAUGACAAAUGUCUCACACAUGCUACCUUUUGUGCUUUCCUGGCCAAGCUGUUAUCUGCAGUUAUUUUCAAGAACAGAGUUCAUUUUUGUUCUUAUUUCUGAAUGGGGAAUUAUAUAAGGCUUGAUUUUGGCCACAGUGGAGGCAUGGAAGUUCAACCUAAGGAGGAGCAGAGUUUGCUAUCGCCUACAUUUGAUUGAUUUCAGGUUUAAACAGCAAGGCAUGAAGAUAAUCCAGAGAUGACCAGACUCUCUCUGGACAGCCUGUUUUCACCCUUGCCCUCCUUGAAACAGGUCACAUUCACAGCACUUACAUGCAUCCCCUAAAAAUACCAACUCCAAGCACAUUAGUGAAAUGGAUGUUGCACUGAAUACUCAGUGGGGAGAUGAAAAUUCACUCAACCCCACAGGAUAACUUAAGACUAGGAUGCCUAUGGACACUUGUGCUUCCCCAAGCCCCUAAAGCUGCCCUCCCCUGCAGCUGUCCAUCGCUGUUGUCUUUACCCACCUCCAUCUCUAAAACUCUCCCCUUAUUUAAAGAUAAUCUUUAUCAACACCAAAGCCAGUAACCAGCCAGAACACCUCCCCUACCACCAAGUUUCCCCAGGGUGCCAUCUUCCUUCUGCUUUCCUCUCCUAUCUCAGUGCCACUGCAAUCCCUGAAGUAGUUCAUCAACGUAUUUAUCCAACAAACUAGAUCUGUUCCUAAGGGGAAUUCUGCUGCAAAAUAAAUUUUAGUUUUCAUCCUAUUUUACCAAGCCAUUAAUAUAUGCUGUUAGCAGUAUGUGCUCAUUAAUCUUAACAAUAACCCUGUAAGCUGUUAUAAUUCCCAGCAUACUGAAAAGGUAACAGGGAGGGGCGUAGAGAAAUUCAGAGACUUACCCAUGCUAAGACUCCCGUUCCAGGUCUGCCAGGGUCCUUACCCACACAAGCUGCAGUGCAAAGGUGGGUGGCCCUGGGCAAUGUAAAAUGGGAGGAUGUGGAUAGGGCUUGGGUCUGGAGCUGCUUUCUCAACACUCCAAGCAGUACCCGUUCGCAUAUUCAAGCAGCUCCUGUGAGUUCCCUUUGGCUGAGAAGUUUCUGUCCUCUCCUGGGCCACCCUGCCCACAGAUAAAAUGCAAGUGAUUUAUUUUGUUGCUUACAAAGGUUAAGGGACUUGUGAAGGCCACAUAACUGUUAAAUGCUAUUGACACCUGGACUUAAUAAACCUAAUAGUAUCUAACAUCCAGGUGGCUAUUUGAAGCAUUAUGCCAUUAUGCCUCUUGAAAGGAAGUCUAGUCCUGGGUUAUGUUUAAAGGAGCAUUUCUUUCCUUUCCAAAAUGACUGCAGAAAGCCAACUAUCUAAGCAGGGAUUAGCAAUUCUACUUCUGAUCAGGGGAACUGACCUAUAUGGGGUAAAAGUGUGGGAUGGGGGAAGUCCCAUUUCCCCAUCACCCUCCUAAUAUUCCCCUGCCUGCUAUAGGGAGGACUUAGAAAAAUGGCUGGAGACUGAGCUAUAUUUAUUAGGGGUCAUUAAAACCCCUAAAAGGUUGUUUAAACAUCAUAUGCAUUUCCACUUCCUGCUCCAUGCUGUCAACCAGGCACAAGUACCAGGGCCUACUUUUUUUUUUUUUUGAGAUGGAGUCUUGCUCUCUCGCCCAGGCUGGAGUGCAGUGGUGUGAUAUCGGCUCACCGCAACCUCUGCCUCCCAGGGUCAAGUGAUUCUCCUGCCUCAGGUUCCUGAGUAGCGGGUAUUACAGGCGCCCACCACCACACCCGGCUAAUUUUUUGUAUUUUUAGUAGAGAUGGGGUUUCGCCAUGUUGGCCAGGCUGUUCUGAACUCCUGACCUCUAGUGAUCCGCCUGCCUCUGCCUCCCAAAGUGCUGGGAUUACAGGCGUAAGCCACUGCGCCCAAGGGCCUACUCUUUCCAAGCAGGCCCAAUGAGACGUUCUUCCCUGUCUCAGGCUUGGAAGCCAGAUGGUGGUAAGAUCUGGAUGUAGGAGGCAGAGGACAAACCUAAGCCAUGAGCCACAACCUAGCUGUUCCAAAGAUCUCUGAAAUAAGCUAAUACAAAGCAGUAUGUUGAUUUCCAUUUUGCUGUCUGCUCCUUGUGCAUUUAGCUCCAGGAGGGAGUUAAUAGGAGAGGGGUGAGUGGCAAGGCAGGAUAUGGUCAUUCCUUGGGCCCUGGUUGUGAUACUAACUUAAUAUAAUCAAAACCUAGGGUGACCAUAUAUCUAUAAUCCAUACCAGGACAAUUCUGAGAACAAAAAAGAGCACUAUUAAUUAUGCUAAGACAACAAUCCAUCCUCCAUAGCUGGAAUGCUCAAGGUCUUAGAAGAAAUAAGGUUAAAAUAAAAAAACAGCAGCAGACCUAUUUAAAAGUUGUUUUGUGGCUGGGCGCAGUGGCUCAUGCCUGUAAUCCAAGCACUUGGGGAGGCCGAGGUGGGGAGAUCAUUUAAGGCCAGGAGUUCGAGUCCAGCCUGGCCAACAUGGAGAAACCCCGUCUCUACUAAAAACACAAAAAUAAGCCAGGGGUAGCGGUGCAUGCCUGUAAUCCUAGGUAUUCGGGAGGCUGAGGCAGGAGAAUCACUUGAACCUGGUCAGUGGAAGUUGCGGUGAGCCAAGAUUGAGCCACUGUACUCCAGCCUCGGUGACAGAGUGAAACUCUGUCUCAAAAAAAAAAAAAGGUUAUGUUCUGCCCAGGCCCUCUAUUUGAAGUUUUCAUGAAACCAUCUCAUUUGUGGAAAGCAUUUUAGUUUAGAGUACUUCUACGGGCAUGCUCUAAGCCUGUGAGGCAGGUCACAGGUUUAGCACCAUGACAGAAGCUGUGCAGCAAGCAGCAGAGGCAAGACUCAAGUCCAGUAUCUGGGUUAGCCCAGUGUUUCCUCCCGUACCCAUGCUGUGACCCCUCAUGGCCUCUGCUCUGCAUGGGCCACAAGCUUGUGUCCUGAACUUAGAAUAUCUGGGGGAAGGCAGAGGACAACAUGAAAUGACGCCCAUGGGAGACAGGGAACCAAAAGGAACAUCUGUUGCCUGAAUCAAAAUUAACUGCAAAGCCAGUCAUUAGCACUGCACAUCAUCAAAACAGGAGAGAUCUGUGUCCAUUUAUUUUCAAAGCCAUCCUGGACUUGGCGGGAAAAAAAAAUGCUGCCUAAUCCCAACACGAUUUUUCAAAUAGUUUUCCAAGAUUCUAAAUCUUAUAUGUAAAUUAACUGGCAAAGGAUUAAAACCCAACAUUUAAAAUAGUGGUACUUAAUGAGGGGCAGCACAUACCUUCAAGGGGGCAUUUGGAAAUGCGUAUGGUCAUUUGAGUUGUGACUUGGGUGGGGGGGUCACAAAGAGGAUGACUCCUCUUCAAGUCAAUAAAUUUCAGUGACAUAGAAGAAAAAGGUGACCGGGUCCAUAGUCAGUGACUUGCAAUCACAGACAAGCCUAUCAUUUGUGGGAUUACUGGGCUUCUGAGAAGCAGCCCAUGGUGGAUUGACGACAAUACAGCACUUGCUGUCCUCCAGGGCUACACUCAGCAGAACACCUGGGAGUUCUGUAGAUCUGCCAAUCUCAUUUCACGGAAAUGGGACUGUGAUGUGUUCAUGCAAAACACGCUGUCCCUACUCAAAACAGUACGCUCUGAUGAAGUCUACAUAGCACAUAUACUUCACCUGUAUGAAAUGGAUUUGGAAAUUACAUGACUCAUUUAGUUCUUCCUCUCCUUAGCCUGUGAAACUAAUUUCUUCCUUGAGGUAUUGAGAUUUAGGUAAAACAGGGUUAGAGAAGCACAAAUAAUCCUGCUGCAUUCAAACUAAGUCAAAAAGUAUCAGAAGAUCUAAAGGACUAACUUGAUUUAAACUUUUCCUGGCAUGACAAAAAGACUGACGUUUCCCAAAAGAAAUUCCCCAAACUGCCAAAGACAGGGGCUGCUGAUGGAGCCAUACUUACUGAGCUGAUUCAUAUUGCUGGGAGGAUCUGAUGAGAAUAAUGAAGAUUUCAGAGAUCAAAGUUUCCACUCUCUGUGGUUCUAAGAAUGUCUCAGUUUUGUCCAAGUCACAAACAACCCCUGGGCUUUAACUAUCUAACCAGAAACUAUAUGUCAUCCUCUGUUGGGGUUACUUUAAAUGAGCACCUGUAUGUCAAGUUUGAUGCAAGUGUGUAUAGUAUUGAGAGGAUGUCCUAGAAGCCCAAAGUAAAGCACUCCUUUCUCUCCUCAGCUAAAUGAAUGAUGUUCUAUCUUGCAGAUCCAUUUUCAAUCAAUGGAUAAGGGUGUUCAAUUCUCAGCAGAGCACUGAAGAAGUCUUUUGCAGACAAUAAUUAGCAGCAAUUCACAGAGAGAUGAGUCAUUUAUGCCUUUAAUGUUACAUGUACAAAACUGUGUAUUAGUGACGACUUAUGAGGGUGCUGAAGACA